Molecule: ribosomal RNA, 253 nt
Filed under: uncultured archaeon
Lineage: Archaea
Description: partial 16S ribosomal RNA
Rfam family: Archaeal small subunit ribosomal RNA
Source: RNAcentral
UACAGGUAGCACGAGUGGUGUCCACGAAUAUUGAGUCUAAAGCGCCCGUAGCCGGUUUGGAAAAUUUCCUGUCAAAUCUCUAAGCUUAACUUAGAGGCGAGCAGGGAACACUACCAGACUAGGGAGUGGAGGAGGUACGAGGUACUGCAGGGGGAACGGUAAAAUGUUGUAAUCCUUGUAGGACCACCAGUGGCGAAAGCGUCGUACCAAGACACGUCCGACGGUGAGGGGCGAAGGCUAGGGGAGCAAACCG